CCCCAGGCGGUCGAUUUAUCACGUUAGCUACGGGCGCCAAACUUAAAGUUCAACCCCCAAAUCGACAUCGUUUACAGCGUGGACUACCAGGGUAUCUAAUCCUGUUUGCUCCCCACGCUUUCGCACAUGAGCGUCAGUACAUUCCCAAGGGGCUGCCUUCGCCUUCGGUAUUCCUCCACAUCUCUACGCAUUUCACCGCUACACGUGGAAUUCUACCCCUCCCUAAAGUACUCUAGCGACCCAGUAUGAAAUGCAAUUCCCAGGUUAAGCCCGGGGCUUUCACACCUCACUUAAGUCACCGCCUGCGUACCCUUUACGCCCAGUUAUUCCGAUUAACGCUCGCACCCUCCGUAUUACCGCGGCUGCUGGCACGGAGUUAGCCGGUGCUUCUUCUGUAGUUAACGUCAAUCACUUAGUUUAUUAAACUAAAUGCCUUCCUCGCUACCGAAAGAACUUUACAACCCGAA
This 467-nucleotide ribosomal RNA is filed under the name uncultured Haemophilus sp. RNAcentral describes it as "partial 16S ribosomal RNA". The record is from RNAcentral. Lineage: Bacteria; Pseudomonadati; Pseudomonadota; Gammaproteobacteria; Pasteurellales; Pasteurellaceae.